Molecule: long non-coding RNA, 1290 nt
Organism: Leptidea sinapis
Lineage: Eukaryota; Metazoa; Arthropoda; Insecta; Lepidoptera; Pieridae
Exons: 4
Source: RefSeq, a predicted model, not a curated record
CGAUUAUGAGAUGUAAUAAUGAAAUCAUUUGAUUAUAAAAAUGUCUAGUUUAUAAAAAUUAGUAGUUACUGAUUUUGUAGGUAAUUGUGUCCGUGAGUCUACGCAGACAGCAAGUGAAACACACAAUUAAAUAAGCUCAUCAAGUUCCGAUGUUGUGGAAAUACAUAUCCCAUGUGAAUGUAUUAUAAUAUAUGAUGAGGAUUCUGAUCAUCAAAUCAAAUCCCACUGCAAAACACUGAAAUAAACGGAUAAUAAUUAUAAACAAAGGAGAAAUAAACACCCCUCGCCCUGUCCAGCCGCGCACUACGAGUUCAAGUCCGCAGUAAGAGUGGGACGUUAUCGCGAACCCUCCGAAUGGUCCGAAAACUAGUCGGUACCGGCACCGACAAAAACAUACCUAGCAUCUGGAUGCUCCUUCAGAGAACUAAAUCAUUCAUUUCGCAUUGGACACACAACUGUUCGAGAAAUUGUACUUGAGGUUUGCGUCGCCAUAUGGCAAAAUAUAAAAGACAUUGCCUUUCCACAACUCGAUAGAGACAAUUGGCUAAAAAUAAGUGAAGGAUUUAGGAACAGUUCGCAAUUUCCUAACUGUACUGGAGCUGUGGACGGAAAGCACAUAAGAGUCAUUCAGCCGACCCAUACAGGGUCACUAUAUUAUAACUACAAAAACUAUUUCUCUAUUGUGCUGAUGGCUAUAUGCGAUGCCAACUACAAAUUUAUAUGCAUAGACGUCGGCGCAUAUGGAAAAUGAAGUGAUUCCUCGGUAUUCAAGCAUUUUUAUGAAAAACUUACAAAUAAUGAUUUAGACAUGCCAGACAAGAGACCGAUAACUGAAACAGGUGUGCCUCUGCCUUUUGUCAUAGUUGGCGAUGAAGCAUUCUCUUUGUCAGAAAAUAUAAUGAGACCAUAUGCCGGAAGAAAUUUGACAGACAAGAAAAGAAUUUUUAACUACCACCUUUCCCGUGCGCGCCGAUACAUAGAAUGUACUUUCGGGAUACUAGCCAAUAAGUGGCGCAUUUUUCAUCGUCCUCUUGAUGUACACGUAGAAUUUGCUGUUGCAAGCAUGUUGCGUCCUUCACAACUAUGUACGGGAGCGAGAUGGGUACAAAUUCGAAGACACGUUGUAUAUUCCUGCGACUAUUGAAGGAAUACCUCCCUGCCAGCCUUCAACAGGAAAUAGAACAUCUACACAAAACAGAGAUCUAUUUGCUGACUACUUCGUGGGUGAAGGACAACUCCCGUGGCAAAAUCGAGUAGCUCUGAGAACACAGUAAAAUAAACAUUACUUAC